RNAcentral lists this ribosomal RNA (414 nucleotides) under uncultured microorganism. RNAcentral's name for it is "bacterial SSU rRNA". It matches the Rfam family "Archaeal small subunit ribosomal RNA", at positions 459 to 872 of the family's 1478-position model. The record is from RNAcentral.
CAGCAGCCGCGGUAAUACCGGCGGCCCGAGUGGCGGUCACUAUUAUUGGGCUUAAAGCGUCCGUAGCCGGGUUGGGAAGUCCUCCGGGAAAUCUGGCCGCUUAACGGUCAGAAUGCCGGAGGAUACUCCCAGCCUAGGGGGCGGGAGAGGCCGAGGGUAUUCCCGGAGUAGGGGUGAAAUCCUAUAAUCCCGGGAGGACCCCCUGUGGCGAAGGCGCUCGGCUGGAACGCGUCCGACGGUGAGGGACGAAGGCCAGGGGAGCAAACCGGAUUAGAUACCCGGGUAGUCCUGGCGGUGAACGAUGCGGACUUUGUGUCGGACAAGCUAUGAGCUUGUCCGGUGCCGGAGGGAAACCGUUAAGUCCGCCGCCUGGGGAGUACGGCCGCAAGGUUGAAACUUAAAGGAAUUGGCGGG